CCCCCCCCCCCCCCCCCCCAUUUUCAAUCCAAUCCAAUCCUUCGCAGAUACAUUCAACAAUCACUGCACACAAUCACAAACAAUUUUCGUCAAAAACGCGCAACACUCGACCUCACAACAUUUGCUUGUUCCACAAGUUUUCUUCAACCAAACCCUAGAAAAAACAAUUCAUCAAGUUUCAGGUCAAUUUACAAAAAUUGGAUGUUGUGAUAAUGUUUAAGCUAUGGAGAUGGUAUCAAAACUGUUUAUCUGUUCAUCCGGUCAAAACUCAGGUCAUCAGCUCCGGUUUAAUUUGGGGAUUUGGUGAUAUUGCAGCUCAGACCGUUACGCAUGCUAGUUCCGUUAAGAGAAACCCUAAUUUAGCUUCUGUUUGGGCUGCUUGGUCUCUUCUACUUGGGCUCUCCUCCUGCCUUACUGCUGGGCUUCCUUCUUGGGCUUAUAGUCGUUUUAUACAGCUGGAUGUUAGCUGGUGCUUAGGGUUUCUAGCCCAUAUAAUGGGCAGAAGGUUCUCGUUCAAGACACACGAGCUCCUCACUUUCUCUUGUCUUCACUUUUGUACGCUUCCCUUGUUCCCUAUCCUCACAAGUACAUUCGUGAGUCUAGGGCUUAUCUACACUUGUACAGAUCAUCCGAUUGGAGAUCUUAUUUGUUCCUUGUUCAGUUGUUAAUCUGUGAUGACAGAUUUGUUCAAUCAUUGUAUUUGAUGCUAAGAUUACAUAAUAAAACUGCUUGAUUCUUGAGUUC
Helianthus annuus (common sunflower) is the source of this 744-nucleotide long non-coding RNA. RefSeq lists it as uncharacterized. The record is from RefSeq and is a predicted model, not a curated record. NCBI's taxonomy places the organism in Eukaryota, Viridiplantae, Streptophyta, Magnoliopsida, Asterales, Asteraceae. The transcript is spliced from 2 exons.